CUACGUGCCAGCAGCCGCGGUAAUACGUAGGUCCCGAGCGUUAUCCGGAUUUAUUGGGCGUAAAGCGAGCGCAGGCGGUUAGAUAAGUCUGAAGUUAAAGGCUGUGGCUUAACCAUAGUACGCUUUGGAAACUGUUUAACUUGAGUGCAAGAGGGGAGAGUGGAAUUCCAUGUGUAGCGGUGAAAUGCGUAGAUAUAUGGAGGAACACCGGUGGCGAAAGCGGCUCUCUGGCUUGUAACUGACGCUGAGGCUCGAAAGCGUGGGGAGCAAACAGGAUUAGAUACCCUGGUAGUCCACGCCGUAAACGAUGUCGAUUUGGGGGUUGAGCUUUGAGUUUGGCGCCCGUAGCUAACGUGAUAAAUCGACCGCCUGGGGAGUACGGCCGCAAGGUUAAAACUCAAAUGAAUUGACGGGGGCCCGCACAAGCGGUGGAGCAUGUGGUUUAAUUCGAUGCAACGCGAAGAACCUUACCUACUCUUGACAUCCAGAGAACAUUC
This 497-nucleotide ribosomal RNA is filed under the name uncultured bacterium. Its description in RNAcentral is "bacterial SSU rRNA". It matches the Rfam family "Bacterial small subunit ribosomal RNA", at positions 501 to 1000 of the family's 1533-position model. The record is from RNAcentral.